This 425-nucleotide ribosomal RNA is filed under the name uncultured bacterium. RNAcentral describes it as "bacterial SSU rRNA". It matches the Rfam family "Bacterial small subunit ribosomal RNA", at positions 359 to 776 of the family's 1533-position model. The record is from RNAcentral.
GAAUUUUGGACAAUGGGCGCAAGCCUGAUCCAGCCAUGCCGCGUGCGGGAAGAAGGCCUUCGGGUUGUAAACCGCUUUUGUCGGGGAAGAAAUCUUCUGAGUUAAUACCUCGGGAGGAUGACGGUACCCGGAGAAUAAGCACCGGCUAACUACGUGCCAGCAGCCGCGGUAAUACGUAGGGUGCAAGCGUUAACCGGAAUUACUGGGCGUAAAGCGUGCGCAGGCGGUGAUGCAAGACAGAUGUGAAAUCCCCGGGCUUAACCUGGGAACUGCAUUUGUGACUGCAUCGCUGGAGUGCGGCAGAGGGGGAUGGAAUUCCGCGUGUAGCAGUGAAAUGCGUAGAUAUGCGGAGGAACACCGAUGGCGAAGGCAAUCCCCUGGGCCUGCACUGACGCUCAUGCACGAAAGCGUGGGGAGCAAACAGG